This 483-nucleotide ribosomal RNA is filed under the name uncultured bacterium. RNAcentral's name for it is "partial 16S ribosomal RNA". It matches the Rfam family "Bacterial small subunit ribosomal RNA", at positions 30 to 507 of the family's 1533-position model. The record is from RNAcentral.
UUGAACGCUGGCGGCAGGCCUAACACAUGCAAGUCGAGCGGAUGAAGGGAGCUUGCUCCUGGCUUCAGCGGCGGACGGGUGAGUAAUACCUAGGAAUCUGCCUGGUAGUGGGGGAUAACGUCCGGAAACGGGCGCUAAUACCGCAUACGUCCUGAGGGAGAAAGUGGGGGAUCUUCGGACCUCACGCUAUCAGAUGAGCCCAGGUCGGAUUAGCUAGUUGGUGGGGUAAAGGCCUACCAAGGCGACGAUCCGUAACUGGUCUGAGAGGAUGAUCAGUCACACUGGAACUGAGACACGGUCCAGACUCCUACGGGAGGCAGCAGUGGGGAAUAUUGGACAAUGGGCGAAAGCCUGAUCCAGCCAUGCCGCGUGUGUGAAGAAGGUCUUCGGAUUGUAAAGCACUUUAAGUUGGGAGGAAGGGCAGUAAGUUAAUACCUUGCUGUUUUGACGUUACCAACAGAAUAAGCACCGGCUAACUUCGUG